ACACCCUAGAUAUAGAAAGCCAAGAGAUAAUAGGAUACUCACAGCUAGAGAAAGGGCAAACUUUGUAGGAGGUGGAGAAGAUGUGCCUGCUAUAUGCCAGGUAAACAAAACCCUUUCUCACAACAUACAUGUUGUUGGGAAAGAGAGUAAGCACAA
This is a long non-coding RNA of Myotis davidii, 156 nucleotides long. RefSeq lists it as uncharacterized. The transcript has 2 exons. The record is from RefSeq and is a predicted model, not a curated record. Lineage: Eukaryota; Metazoa; Chordata; Mammalia; Chiroptera; Vespertilionidae.